RNAcentral lists this ribosomal RNA (671 nucleotides) under Escherichia coli. RNAcentral describes it as "partial 23S ribosomal RNA". It matches the Rfam family "Bacterial large subunit ribosomal RNA", at positions 2131 to 2801 of the family's 2925-position model. The record is from RNAcentral. Lineage: Bacteria; Pseudomonadati; Pseudomonadota; Gammaproteobacteria; Enterobacterales; Enterobacteriaceae.
UUGAUGUGUAGGAUAGGUGGGAGGCUUUGAAGUGUGGACGCCAGUCUGCAUGGAGCCGACCUUGAAAUACCACCCUUUAAUGUUUGAUGUUCUAACGUUGACCCGUGAUCCGGGUUGCGGACAGUGUCUGGUGGGUAGUUUGACUGGGGCGGUCUCCUCCUAAAGAGUAACGGAGGAGCACGAAGGUUGGCUAAUCCUGGUCGGACAUCAGGAGGUUAGUGCAAUGGCAUAAGCCAGCUUGACUGCGAGCGUGACGGCGCGAGCAGGUGCGAAAGCAGGUCAUAGUGAUCCGGUGGUUCUGAAUGGAAGGGCCAUCGCUCAACGGAUAAAAGGUACUCCGGGGAUAACAGGCUGAUACCGCCCAAGAGUUCAUAUCGACGGCGGUGUUUGGCACCUCGAUGUCGGCUCAUCACAUCCUGGGGCUGAAGUAGGUCCCAAGGGUAUGGCUGUUCGCCAUUUAAAGUGGUACGCGAGCUGGGUUUAGAACGUCGUGAGACAGUUCGGUCCCUAUCUGCCGUGGGCGCUGGAGAACUGAGGGGGGCUGCUCCUAGUACGAGAGGACCGGAGUGGACGCAUCACUGGUGUUCGGGUUGUCAUGCCAAUGGCACUGCCCGGUAGCUAAAUGCGGAAGAGAUAAGUGCUGAAAGCAUCUAAGCACGAAACUUGCCCCG